This 315-nucleotide ribosomal RNA is filed under the name uncultured bacterium. RNAcentral describes it as "bacterial SSU rRNA". It matches the Rfam family "Bacterial small subunit ribosomal RNA", at positions 28 to 334 of the family's 1533-position model. The record is from RNAcentral.
GAUGAACGCUAGCGGCAGGCCUAACACAUGCAAGUCGAACGGUAACAUGAGAGAGCUUGCUCUUUUGAUGACGAGUGGCGCACGGGUGCGCAACGCGUAUAGAACCUACCCUGUACAGGGGGAUAGCCCAGGGAAACUUGGAUUAAUACCCCGUGGAAACGUGAUAUGGCAUCAUAUUAUGUUUAAAGCUUUCGGGCGGUACGGGAUGGCUAUGCGUCUUAUUAGCUAGUAGGUAAGGUAACGGCUUACCUAGGCUUCGAUAAGUAGGGGCCCUGAGAGGGGGAUCCCCCACACUGGUACUGAGACACGGACCAG